Molecule: long non-coding RNA, 1356 nt
Filed under: Felis catus (domestic cat)
Lineage: Eukaryota; Metazoa; Chordata; Mammalia; Carnivora; Felidae
Description: lncRNA (ENSFCAG00000043740.2)
Source: RNAcentral
CUUGCUCCAAGUGAUUCGUAUAAAUAGGUCUGGGGAGUAGUUUGGAGAAUAGUAAGUUAGAGAAUAUUUAUUCAAGAAAUAUUCAUUGAGCAACUUCUAUCAUGCUGCAUGCUGACAAAACGCGGGGAUUAGAUCCUUCUGGCCUGCCGAAGCCCGCUGAGAACACAAAGGCACGCACGGCUGUGUCCCAUCUGGUGAGCCCCAUUUGCAUGCACAGCAGCGACUUUCCAUGUGAAUCAGUCAUUUCCUCCGGAAGAGAGAAAAUGAGGCCCUGGAGAUGGAUUGAACUUUUAACUCUUGGAUCAGAAAGGCAUGCCCAGGACUGGUGUUCAUGUGAGCAGAGGAGGACAGUAUGAACUGAAAGACACCAAGUAAGUACGUUCCCUUCUUAUUCCCUCCCAUCAGCCAGCACUUUGGCAAAUGAGCUUUCCUACUGCCAAUAUAACUGCCUAAAAUCCUAUACUUAAAAAUUAAUUCCUUUGAGUCACUCCCUAAUCAUUUCAUUCAUUCUACAUGGUAACUGAGCAUCCAUAAUUACGAGAUAGGAUGGUAAUCUCUGGCAACUGGGAGAUGAGAGAGACUCGGUCUCUGUCCUUAGGGAGUUCAAGUCCGUGUGGAAUGCAGUCCUAUUCUUCUAUAAUACAGUAUGAUAUGUACUUAGAGAAGAGGCUUUGGAGCCCAGAAGAGGUUAAAUCAAGAAACAAAAAUCUAUCAGCCUGCUGUUAAAGUCUUCAAAAUGCUGGUCAUGUUGUAAGGAAGUCAGCGGGAUUGUCACUGCACACAAAACAAUGCAAUUUGCUUGAUGCUGUUGUCACUGAAGUUAGAGGGUCCAAGGGUAAGUGGGCCGGAAUCCCAACUGUUGGCUCUUUUUUGCUCCCUUUCUCCACAACUGCCUGGCUAGCACCACCAGGCCAAAGUCCUCUGACUAGGCAAGUGGCCAGGGGCUGCUGGGGUGGCCAGUGGUGUUUUUAUGAAGGCACUCAGCUGCAUGGACUUGAAGAAUGGGGUAGGAGCAAGUGCAGCUGCAGCAGGAAGAGGUCUGUGAGGAGACUGAUGGGACAAGGGACAAGGGGUUGAUGAACCCAGUGCCAAAUUAUAGCAGGUCACCAGGGUGCUGGCGUGACCAGAAAGGUGGAAUCACCAAGUCUUCACAGACCCCACUGAACAGUACAAAGCAUGCCAUCUGGUGACAGCCUGUCCCGAAUUAUUCUGGAUCCUUGUCUAUUUGCCGUUUUCUAGGUUUCUGGCCUCCAAAAGGUAUGCGAAAACUAAACUCUAAUUGAAUCCACUGACUCCGGUACAUCCAUCAUGCUGCUGUAAUACAAUACUAGCAUAGCCGUCCCACACCAUACUGGU